GGGCCUAAUACAUGGCAAGGUCGAACGAACUCUGGUAUUGAUUGGUGCUUGCAUCAUGAUUUACAUUUGAGUGAGUGGCGAACUGGUGAGUAACACGUGGGAAACCUGCCCAGAAGCGGGGGAUAACACCUGGAAACAGAUGCUAAUACCGCAUAACAACUUGGACCGCAUGGUCCGAGCUUGAAAGAUGGCUUCGGCUAUCACUUUUGGAUGGUCCCGCGGCGUAUUAGCUAGAUGGUGGGGUAACGGCUCACCAUGGCAAUGAUACGUAGCCGACCUGAGAGGGUAAUCGGCCACAUUGGGACUGAGACACGGCCCAAACUCCUACGGGAGGCAGCAGUAGGGAAUCUUCCACAAUGGACGAAAGUCUGAUGGAGCAACGCCGCGUGAGUGAAGAAGGGUUUCGGCUCGUAAAACUCUGUUGUUAAAGAAGAACAUAUCUGAGAGUAACUGUUCAGGUAUUGACGGUAUUUAACCAGAAAGCCACGGCUAACUACGUGCCAGCAGCCGCGGUAAUACGUAGGUGGCAAGCGUUGUCCGGAUUUAUUGGGCGUAAAGCGAGCGCAGGCGGUUUUUUAAGUCUGAUGUGAAAGCCUUCGGCUCAACCGAAGAAGUGCAUCGGAAACUGGGAAACUUGAGUGCAGAAGAGGACAGUGGAACUCCAUGUGUAGCGGUGAAAUGCGUAGAUAUAUGGAAGAACACCAGUGGCGAAGGCGGCUGUCUGGUCUGUAACUGACGCUGAGGCUCGAAAGUAUGGGUAGCAAACAGGAUUAGAUACCCUGGUAGUCCAUACCGUAAACGAUGAAUGCUAAGUGUUGGAGGGUUUCCGCCCUUCAGUGCUGCAGCUAACGCAUUAAGCAUUCCGCCUGGGGAGUACGGCCGCAAGGCUGAAACUCAAAGGAAUUGACGGGGGCCCGCACAAGCGGUGGAGCAUGUGGUUUAAUUCGAAGCUACGCGAAGAACCUUACCAGGUCUUGACAUACUAUGCAAAUCUAAGAGAUUAGACGUUCCCUUCGGGGACAUGGAUACAGGUGGUGCAUGGUUGUCGUCAGCUCGUGUCGUGAGAUGUUGGGUUAAGUCCCGCAACGAGCGCAACCCUUAUUAUCAGUUGCCAGCAUUAAGUUGGGCACUCUGGUGAGACUGCCGGUGACAAACCGGAGGAAGGUGGGGAUGACGUCAAAUCAUCAUGCCCCUUAUGACCUGGGCUACACACGUGCUACAAUGGAUGGUACAACGAGUUGCGAACUCGCGAGAGUAAGCUAAUCUCUUAAAGCCAUUCUCAGUUCGGAUUGUAGGCUGCAACUCGCCUACAUGAAGUCGGAAUCGCUAGUAAUCGCGGAUCAGCAUGCCGCGGUGAAUACGUUCCCGGGCCUUGUACACACCGCCCGUCACACCAUGAGAGUUUGUAACACCCAAAGUCGGUGGGGUAACCUUUUAGGAACCAGCCGCCUAAAGGGGGAACAAGAAU
Molecule: ribosomal RNA, 1468 nt
Filed under: Lactiplantibacillus plantarum
Lineage: Bacteria; Bacillati; Bacillota; Bacilli; Lactobacillales; Lactobacillaceae
Description: bacterial SSU rRNA
Rfam family: Bacterial small subunit ribosomal RNA
Source: RNAcentral